AUUGCUGGCGACCGGGGCACGGGUGAGUAACACGUAUCCAACCUGCCGAUAACUCGGGGAUAGCCUUUCGAAAGAAAGAUUAAUACCCGAUGGCAUAAUUAGACCGCAUGGUUUGAUUAUUAAAGAAUUUCGGUUAUCGAUGGGGAUGCGUUCCAUUAGGCAGUUGGUGAGGUAACGGCUCACCAAACCUUCGAUGGAUAGGGGUUCUGAGAGGAAGGUCCCCCACAUUGGAACUGAGACACGGUCCAA
This 249-nucleotide ribosomal RNA is filed under the name uncultured bacterium. Its description in RNAcentral is "partial 16S ribosomal RNA". It matches the Rfam family "Bacterial small subunit ribosomal RNA", at positions 84 to 334 of the family's 1533-position model. The record is from RNAcentral.